AAAGCGUGCGCAGGCGGUUUUGUAAGACUGUCGUGAAAUCCCCGGGCUCAACCUGGGAAUGGCGAUGGUGACUGCAAGGCUAGAGUUUGGCAGAGGGGGGUAGAAUUCCACGUGUAGCAGUGAAAUGCGUAGAUAUGUGGAGGAACACCGAUGGCGAAGGCAGCCCCCUGGGUCAAAACUGACGCUCAUGCACGAAAGCGUGGGGAGCAAACAGGAUUAGAUACCCUUGU
This 230-nucleotide ribosomal RNA is filed under the name uncultured bacterium. RNAcentral describes it as "partial 16S ribosomal RNA". It matches the Rfam family "Bacterial small subunit ribosomal RNA", at positions 562 to 791 of the family's 1533-position model. The record is from RNAcentral.